UCCUCAGUAGCUCAAUGGUAGAGCAUUCGGCUGUUAACCGAAGGGUUGUAGGUUCGAAUCCUACCUGAGGAGCCA
Molecule: transfer RNA, 75 nt
Filed under: Acidobacteria bacterium RIFCSPLOWO2_12_FULL_54_10
Lineage: Bacteria; Pseudomonadati; Acidobacteriota
Also listed under: 11 other names
Description: tRNA-Asn
Rfam family: tRNA
About the family: Transfer RNA (tRNA) molecules are approximately 80 nucleotides in length. Their secondary structure includes four short double-helical elements and three loops (D, anti-codon, and T loops). Further hydrogen bonds mediate the characteristic L-shaped molecular structure. tRNAs have two regions of fundamental functional importance: the anti-codon, which is responsible for specific mRNA codon recognition, and the 3' end, to which the tRNAs corresponding amino acid is attached (by aminoacyl-tRNA synthetases). tRNAs cope with the degeneracy of the genetic code in two manners: having more than one tRNA (with a specific anti-codon) for a particular amino acid; and 'wobble' base-pairing, i.e. permitting non-standard base-pairing at the 3rd anti-codon position.
Source: RNAcentral